This 434-nucleotide ribosomal RNA is filed under the name uncultured bacterium. Its description in RNAcentral is "partial 16S ribosomal RNA". It matches the Rfam family "Bacterial small subunit ribosomal RNA", at positions 29 to 507 of the family's 1533-position model. The record is from RNAcentral.
AGCGAACGCUGGCGGCAGGCCUAACACGUGCAAGUCGAACGAACCUUUCGGGGUUAGUGGCGGACGGGUGAGUAACACGUGGGAACGUGCCUUUAGGUUCGGAAUAACUCAGGGAAACUUGUGCUAAUACCGAAUGUGCCCUUCGGGGGAAAGAUUUAUCGCCUUUAGAGCGGCCCGCGUCUGAUUAGCUAGUUGGUUGAGGUAAUGGCUCACCAAGGCGACGAUCAGUAGCUGGUCUGAGAGGAUGAUCAGCCACAUUGGGACUGAGACACGGCCCAAACUCCUACGGGAGGCAGCAGUGGGGAAUCUUGCGCAAUGGGCGAAAGCCUGACGCAGCCAUGCCGCGUGAAUGAUGAAGGUCUUAGGAUUGUAAAAUUCUUUCACCGGGGACGAUAAUGACGGUACCCGGAGAAGAAGCCCCGGCUAACUUCGUG